GUGGGGAAUAUUGGGCAAUGGGGGAAACCCUGACCCAGCAACGCCGCGUGAAGGAAGAAGGUUUUCGGAUCGUAAACUUCUAUCCUUGGUGAAGAUAAUGACGGUAGCCAAGAAGGAAGCCCCGGCUAACUACGUGCCAGCAGCCGCGGUAAUACGUAGGGGGCAAGCGUUGUCCGGAAUGAUUGGGCGUAAAGGGCGCGUAGGCGGCCUGGUAAGUCUGGAGUGAAAGUCCUGCUUUUAAGGUGGGAAUUGCUUUGGAUACUGUCGGGCUCGAGUGCAGGAGAGGUAAGUGGAAUUCCCGGUGUAGCGGUGAAAUGCGUAGAGAUCGGGAGGAACACCAGUGGCGAAGGCGACUUACUGGACUGUAACUGACGCUGAGGCGCGAAAGUGUGGGGAGCAAACAGGAUUAGAUACCCCGGUAGUCC
Molecule: ribosomal RNA, 425 nt
Filed under: uncultured bacterium
Lineage: Bacteria
Description: partial 16S ribosomal RNA
Rfam family: Bacterial small subunit ribosomal RNA
Source: RNAcentral